RNAcentral lists this transfer RNA (74 nucleotides) under Deltaproteobacteria bacterium. RNAcentral's name for it is "tRNA-Asp". It matches the Rfam family "tRNA". Rfam says of the family: Transfer RNA (tRNA) molecules are approximately 80 nucleotides in length. Their secondary structure includes four short double-helical elements and three loops (D, anti-codon, and T loops). Further hydrogen bonds mediate the characteristic L-shaped molecular structure. tRNAs have two regions of fundamental functional importance: the anti-codon, which is responsible for specific mRNA codon recognition, and the 3' end, to which the tRNAs corresponding amino acid is attached (by aminoacyl-tRNA synthetases). tRNAs cope with the degeneracy of the genetic code in two manners: having more than one tRNA (with a specific anti-codon) for a particular amino acid; and 'wobble' base-pairing, i.e. permitting non-standard base-pairing at the 3rd anti-codon position. Lineage: Bacteria; Pseudomonadati; Myxococcota; Myxococcia. The record is from RNAcentral.
GGGGCGUUAGUUAAGACGGUUAUAACGCCGGCCUGUCACGCCGGAGGCCACGGGUUCGAGUCCCGUACGCCCCG